CCUUCGAUAGCUCAGUUGGAAGAGCGCGAGACUGUAAUGGGUUGCCAUAUCUCGAUGUCGCUGGUUCGAUCCCGGCUCGAAGGA
This 84-nucleotide transfer RNA is filed under the name Grifola frondosa (maitake). It matches the Rfam family "tRNA". From Rfam's summary of the family: Transfer RNA (tRNA) molecules are approximately 80 nucleotides in length. The record is from Rfam by way of RNAcentral. Lineage: Eukaryota; Fungi; Basidiomycota; Agaricomycetes; Polyporales; Grifolaceae.